RNAcentral lists this ribosomal RNA (250 nucleotides) under uncultured prokaryote. Its description in RNAcentral is "partial 16S ribosomal RNA". It matches the Rfam family "Bacterial small subunit ribosomal RNA", at positions 524 to 773 of the family's 1533-position model. The record is from RNAcentral.
UACGUAUGGUGCAAGCGUUAUCCGGAUUUACUGGGUGUAAAGGGUGCGUAGGCGGUAAGGCAAGUCAGAAGUGAAAACCUGGGGCUCAACCCCGGGACUGCUUUUGAAACUGUCUAACUAGAGUAUGGGAGAGGAAAGCGGAAUUCCUAGUGUAGCGGUGAAAUGCGUAGAUAUUAGGAGGAACACCAGUGGCGAAGGCGGCUUUCUGGACCAAAACUGACGCUGAGGCACGAAAGCGUGGGGAGCAAAC